AAAUGUGAGCUUGUCCACGUUGGCUGUGGACAGGCGGCUGCGCUUGUCUGUGAUAACCUCAUGCCAAUUGCACUUCCCCGUGACAGCGACAACGCAUUCGGAUGUCUGCCCUAUCAACUUUCGAUGCUAUUUUCCGCAGCUACCAUGGUGACCAUGGGUAACAGGGAAUCAGGGUUCAAUUCCAGAGAGGGAUCCUGAGAAACGGCUACCACGUGCAAGGAAGGCAGUAGGCGUGCAAACUACCCACUCCCGACGCGGGGAGGUAGUGA
Pelobates cultripes (western spadefoot toad) is the source of this 269-nucleotide non-coding RNA. Lineage: Eukaryota; Metazoa; Chordata; Amphibia; Anura; Pelobatidae. The record is from the annotation of a GenBank genome assembly.